RNAcentral lists this ribosomal RNA (499 nucleotides) under uncultured Lachnospiraceae bacterium. RNAcentral's name for it is "partial 16S ribosomal RNA". The record is from RNAcentral. Lineage: Bacteria; Bacillati; Bacillota; Clostridia; Lachnospirales; Lachnospiraceae.
CACGUAGUUAGCCGGGGCUUCUUAGUCAGGUACCGUCAUUAUCUUCCCUGCUGAUAGAGCUUUAUAUACCGAAAUACUUCUUCACUCACGCGGCGUCGCUGCAUCAGGGUUUCCCCCAUUGUGCAAUAUUCCCCACUGCUGCCUCCCGUAGGAGUCUGGGCCGUGUCUCAGUCCCAAUGUGGCCGUUCACUCUCUCAAGCCGGCUACUGAUCGUCGCCUUGGUAGGCCGUUACCCUGCCAACUAGCUAAUCAGACGCGGGUCCAUCUCACAGCGAUAAAUCUUUGAAGGAACCUUCAUGCGGAGAUCCCUUGUUAUGCGGUAUUAGCAGCCGUUUCCGGCUGUUGUCCCCCUCUGUGAGGCAGGUUACCCACGCGUUACUCACCCGUCCGCCACUCAGUCAUUACCAUCUUCCCUCCGAAAAGUUCCGUCGGUAGCGCUUCGUUCGACUUGCAUGUGUUAAGCACGCCGCCAGCGUUCAUCCUGAGCCAGGAUCAAACU